UAUCUUUCCACUUUCCCCCUACUCCUGAAUGUCUAAAGAACUCUCAAUGCAUAUUAGCCAUCACCAUGGUUGAGACCCAGACCUCUGCAGAGACAAUCUUGAUCCUCUGGCUCCUGCUUCACAUUGCCCAUUCACCCUCAGCACUGAAAUCCUUACCUCAAGCGCUGGGAAUUCAGGCCAUGGAAGAUUAGGAGGCUCACAGCAGGUUGCUUUGCCCUUUUUUUCCCUAUUCCUUUUUGCAUUUUCUUCUGGGUCUCUCAAAGGCCAUCUAAUUCUUCUCUGUCAUAUGCAUAGAUUUUGGGAACUACUUUGUUUCCUAAGCAUGCCCCUGAGAGGACUCACCCCUUACCCCCAGCAGCUUAUCAAAGUAUUUUUGUAUUUCUGUCAAACUAGUGGAAUGCUGCUCCAAGAAGAAUUCUGAUUACAUUUUUCCAUGUCGUUGUUAUGGAAGCUGUAUCUAUAUAAAGUGGGAAGAUGCCAAUAAGGGUCCUUGCUCCUUGAGUGUAAGCUCCCCUAUCUUUAAUCUCUCUGUUGGUCUAGAAGUGUGGAGCAAGUUAUCCUUCAAGAUUCAGGACAAAUGUCACUUCCUCAGUGAAGCCUUCUCUCCCUCCUUGGUGUCUCCAUAAUACUCUGCUUAGACUUCACAUAUAUCAUGUGUUUUCCUACUAGAUUCUGAACUCCCCGAGAGCGGCAACCCAUAUCUUAACUCUCUUUGCAUCAACAGAGCCCAAUACAAUGCCUGGCACAGAGUAAGCCUCAAAUAUGUCUAUGAUAUAAAUUUUCUAAUAAAAUGUCUA
Molecule: long non-coding RNA, 797 nt
Filed under: Homo sapiens (human)
Lineage: Eukaryota; Metazoa; Chordata; Mammalia; Primates; Hominidae
Description: HSALNT0378489
Source: RNAcentral